This 465-nucleotide ribosomal RNA is filed under the name uncultured bacterium. Its description in RNAcentral is "partial 16S ribosomal RNA". It matches the Rfam family "Bacterial small subunit ribosomal RNA", at positions 28 to 507 of the family's 1533-position model. The record is from RNAcentral.
GACGAACGCUGGCGGCGUGCUUAACACAUGCAAGUCGUACGGUAAGGCCCUUUCGGGGGUCCACGAGUGGCGCACGGGUGAGUAACACGUGAGUAACCUGCCCACAACUUUGGGAUAACGCUAGGAAACUGGUGCUAAUACUGGAUAUGUGCUCCUGCUGCAUGGUGGGGGUUGGAAAGCUCCGGCGGUUGUGGAUGGACUCGCGGCCUAUCAGCUUGUUGGUGGGGUAGUGGCCUACCAAGGCGGCGACGGGUAGCCGGCCUGAGAGGGUGACCGGCCACAUUGGGACUGAGAUACGGCCCAGACUCCUACGGGAGGCAGCAGUGGGGAAUAUUGCACAAGGGGCGCAAGCCGGAUGCAGCAACGCCGCGGGCGGGAUGACGGCCUUCGGGUUGUAAACCGCUUUCAGCAGGGACGAAGCUUUUUGUGACGGUACCUGCAGAAGAAGCACCGGCUAACUACGUG